GUAGGUGGCAAGCGUUGUCCGGAAUUAUUGGGCGUAAAGCGCGCGCAGGCGGUUCUUUAAGUCUGAUGUGAAAGCCCACGGCUCAACCGUGGAGGGUCAUUGGAAACUGGAGAACUUGAGUACAGAAGAGGAAAGCGGAAUUCCACGUGUAGCGGUGAAAUGCGUAGAGAUGUGGAGGAAUACCAGUGGCGAAGGCGGCUUUCUGGUCUGUAACUGACGCUGAGGCGCGAAAGCGUGGGGAGCAAACAGGGAUUAGAUACCCUGGUAGUCCACGCCGUAAACCGAUGAGUGCUAAGUGUUAGGGGGGGUUUCCGCCCCCCUUAGUGCUGCAGCUAACGCAUUAAGCACUCCGCCUGGGGAUACGGCCGCAAGGCUG
This 376-nucleotide ribosomal RNA is filed under the name uncultured organism. Its description in RNAcentral is "partial 16S ribosomal RNA". It matches the Rfam family "Bacterial small subunit ribosomal RNA", at positions 527 to 896 of the family's 1533-position model. The record is from RNAcentral.